Non-coding RNA from Phrynosoma platyrhinos (Desert horned lizard), 73 nucleotides. The record is from the annotation of a GenBank genome assembly. NCBI's taxonomy places the organism in Eukaryota, Metazoa, Chordata, Lepidosauria, Squamata, Phrynosomatidae.
GAGCCAGUGAGUGUAGUGGUUUGAGCAUUGGACUAUGACUCUGGAGAACAGGGUUCAAAUCCCCACUGUGUCA